GCUCCGGCACCACCACCACGGGCGGGGCUUCCACCACAAUCUCCUUUUCUUUGACCACAGUAGUACUGGUGCCGCAGCUCUCUUCAGUGGUGGUGGUGGUAGUAGCGUUCUCCUCAGCAGCCUCAACAGGUGGUGGGGCCGGGGCCGGGGCAGCCUCUUCUUUCUUCUCAUCCUCUUUCUCCUCAACUACUAUAAAGGUAGACACCUUCUCCAACACAAAAAAUACUGGACCGGGUAUAUAUCCUACCCCCACCUUCGUACCCGCUUCGCACACAGCCUUCGUUCCCGGAAAUUCUAUUAAUUAUAUAUAUUAUAUAUAUUGCCGCCACAGAAACAGAACAUGAUCAAUAAUUAAUUAUUAUUAUAAGACUACUAUGAUGAUGAUGAUGAUGAUGAUGAUGAUGAUGUGUGAAUAUAGAUAGACAUACCG
This 430-nucleotide long non-coding RNA is filed under the name Erythranthe guttata (spotted monkey flower). RNAcentral's name for it is "long non-coding RNA (EGUT_LNC002300)". The record is from RNAcentral. Lineage: Eukaryota; Viridiplantae; Streptophyta; Magnoliopsida; Lamiales; Phrymaceae.